Molecule: transfer RNA, 71 nt
Filed under: Macrostomum lignano
Lineage: Eukaryota; Metazoa; Platyhelminthes; Macrostomidae
Rfam family: tRNA
About the family: Transfer RNA (tRNA) molecules are approximately 80 nucleotides in length. Their secondary structure includes four short double-helical elements and three loops (D, anti-codon, and T loops).
Source: Rfam by way of RNAcentral
GGGGUUCUAGCCCAGUGGUUAGAGCGAUAGAUUCACGACUUAAAGGUCGGGGGUUCGAUUCCCGAUCCCCA